UAAUAUAUUUGCAUUGAAGGCACAUUAUUCUAGUCAAUUAUGUUUAUUAUGAAGAUGGGAUUAAACCACCAUUAAAGAGCAUAUCUGUGAAGCUUCUGGUGCUUGCUUCUUACGCCCAGUUUGGGGUGAGUGCUGGGAGAAAGAAUUACUGGGCAACCGCAAUGGCAUGCGCAACUGACCCACUAUUCGGGAGACCUAUACUUGUUAUUUACCUAUACACUUUAUGUUGAUGGAUAAAUGACGACUUAGGAUUAAACCUACUAUGUGAUGAAAGUUACGAGUAGUGUAGCUUGUCUUGAGUGAGUAUUGGGAAUAAUUGAACAUUAUAUACGUGAAAUAGCUAAGCACAUAUAUAAAUUGCAAUUUGAAACAAUACUUGCAAAAAAGAAUUAAUAAUAAACGAUUGGUGAGGAAAGCUCCUAGAGUGAUUUAUAUGGGAUUGCAGUGCGUACUAAGUGGCAAUCAAGUCAUAUAGCUGGAAACACUAUAUUAGUUUUUUUAAAGGGGAACCGCUAUUCUGGUAACGGAAAGUAAAGACUAGGGAAAUCCAACUUGACCUAAAGACGUAAAGUUAACUAUAUAAAUAGCCUCUAACUACACUUAAUGU
Molecule: non-coding RNA, 607 nt
Organism: Acholeplasma sp. CAG:878
Lineage: Bacteria; Bacillati; Mycoplasmatota; Mollicutes; Acholeplasmatales; Acholeplasmataceae
Source: Rfam